UUAUUUCUUGAAACUUCUGCAAAUUAAGCGUGACGAUUAAGUUUCGCUGGAUAGGAACCCGGCACAUGUCGGGCGGAGCAGAAAUUUUGAAAACCAUCAUUUUAAGAGU
Caenorhabditis elegans is the source of this 109-nucleotide non-coding RNA. Lineage: Eukaryota; Metazoa; Nematoda; Chromadorea; Rhabditida; Rhabditidae. The record is from Ensembl.